GACGAACGCUGGCGGCGUGCUUAACACAUGCAAGUCGAACGAUGAAGCCGGAGCUUGCUCUGGUGAAUUAGUGGCGAACGGGUGAGUAACACGUGAGUAACCUGCCCUUGACUCUGGGAUAACUGCGGGAAACUGUAGCUAAUACCGGAUACGACACCCGGAGGCAUCACCUGGGGGUGGAAAGAAUUUCGGUCAAGGAUGGACUCGCGGCCUAUCAGCUAGUUAGUGAGGUAAAGGCUCACCAAGGCGACGACGGGUAGCCGGCCUGAGAGGGUGACCGGCCACACUGGGACUGAGACACGGCCCAGACGCCUACGGGAGGCAGCAGUGGGGAAUAUUGCACAAUGGGCGCAAGCCUGAUGCAGCAACGCCGCGUGAGGGAUGACGGCCUUCGGGUUGUAAACCUCUCUUAGCAGGGAAGAAGCGAAAGUGACGGUACCUGCAGAAAAAGCACCGGCUAACUACGUGCCAGCCGCCGCAGUAA
This 484-nucleotide ribosomal RNA is filed under the name uncultured bacterium. RNAcentral's name for it is "partial 16S ribosomal RNA". It matches the Rfam family "Bacterial small subunit ribosomal RNA", at positions 28 to 523 of the family's 1533-position model. The record is from RNAcentral.